This 356-nucleotide ribosomal RNA is filed under the name uncultured bacterium. RNAcentral's name for it is "partial 16S ribosomal RNA". It matches the Rfam family "Bacterial small subunit ribosomal RNA", at positions 338 to 691 of the family's 1533-position model. The record is from RNAcentral.
CCUACGGGUGGCAGCAGUGAGGAAUAUUGGUCAAUGGACGCGAGUCUGAACCAGCCAUGUCGCGUGCAGGAAGACGGCCCUAUGAAUUGUAAACCGCUUUUGUCGGGGGGCAAAAGCCGACACGCGUAGCUUUCCGAAAGUACCCGAAGAAAAAGCAUCGGCUAACUCCGUGCCAGCAGCCGCGGUAAUACGGAGGAUUCAAGCGUUAUCCGGAUUUAUUGGGUUUAAAGGGUGCGUAGGCGGUCGGAUAAGUCAGGGGUGAAAUUCCGAGGCUCAACCUCGGCAGUGCCUCUGAUACUGUUCGGCUAGAGAGUAGUUGCGGUAGGCGGAAUGUAUGGUGUAGCGGUGAAAUGCUU